GACGAACGCUGGCGGCGUGCCUAAUACAUGCAAGUCGAGCGAAGUUUUUCUGGUGCUUGCACCGGAAAAACUUAGCGGCGAACGGGUGAGUAACACGUAAAGAACCUGCCUCAUAGACUGGGACAACUAUUGGAAACGAUAGCUAAUACCGGAUAAUAGCAUUACCUGCAUGGUUGAUGUUUAAAAGUUGGUUUUGCUAACACUAUGAGAUGGCUUUGCGGUGCAUUAGCUAGUUGGUGGGGUAAAGGCCUACCAAGGCGACGAUGCAUAGCCGACCUGAGAGGGUGAUCGGCCACACUGGGACUGAGACACGGCCCAGACUCCUACGGGAGGCAGCAGUAGGGAAUCUUCCGCAAUGGGCGAAAGCCUUACGGAGCAACGCCGCGUGAGUGAAGAAGGAUUUCGGUUCGUAAAGCUCUGUUGUUAGGGAAGAAUGAUUGUGUAGUAACUAUACACAGUAGAGACGGUACCUAACCAGAAAGCCACGGCUAACUACGUG
This 499-nucleotide ribosomal RNA is filed under the name uncultured bacterium. RNAcentral's name for it is "partial 16S ribosomal RNA". It matches the Rfam family "Bacterial small subunit ribosomal RNA", at positions 28 to 507 of the family's 1533-position model. The record is from RNAcentral.